UACAGAGGUCUCAAGCGUUGUUCGGAUUCAUUGGGCGUAAAGGGUGCGUAGGCGGCAGUGCAAGUCAGGUGUGAAAUCCCGGGGCUCAACCCCGGAACUGCACUUGAUACUGCUCUGCUAGAGUACUGGAGAGGAGACUGGAAUUCACGGUGUAGCAGUGAAAUGCGUAGAUAUCGUGAGGAAGACCAGUGGCGAAGGCGAGUCUCUGGACAGUUACUGACGCUGAGGCACGAAGGCCAGGGGAGCAAACGGG
This 253-nucleotide ribosomal RNA is filed under the name uncultured bacterium. RNAcentral's name for it is "partial 16S ribosomal RNA". It matches the Rfam family "Bacterial small subunit ribosomal RNA", at positions 524 to 776 of the family's 1533-position model. The record is from RNAcentral.